This 724-nucleotide ribosomal RNA is filed under the name uncultured bacterium. RNAcentral's name for it is "bacterial SSU rRNA". It matches the Rfam family "Bacterial small subunit ribosomal RNA", at positions 125 to 851 of the family's 1533-position model. The record is from RNAcentral.
CCUACCUUUAACAGGGGCAUAACACUGAGAAAUUGGUACUAAUUCCCCAUAACAUUCGAGAAGGCAUCUUCUUGGGUUAAAAACUCCGGUGGUUAAAGAUGGGCAUGCGUUGUAUUAGCUAGUUGGUGAGGUAACGGCUCACCAAGGCAACGAUACAUAGGGGGACUGAGAGGUUAACCCCCCACAUUGGUACUGAGACACGGACCAAACUCCUACGGGAGGCAGCAGUGAGGAAUAUUGGUCAAUGGACGCAAGUCUGAACCAGCCAUGCCGCGUGCAGGAAGACGGCUCUAUGAGUUGUAAACUGCUUUUGUACUAGGGUAAACGCUCCUACGUGUAGGAGUCUGAAAGUAUAGUACGAAUAAGGAUCGGCUAACUCCGUGCCAGCAGCCGCGGUAAUACGGAGGAUCCAAGCGUUAUCCGGAUUUAUUGGGUUUAAAGGGUGCGUAGGCGGUUUGAUAAGUUAGAGGUGAAAUGCCGGGGCUCAACUCCGGAACUGCCUCUAAUACUGUUGAACUAGAGAGUAGUUGCGGUAGGCGGAAUGUAUGGUGUAGCGGUGAAAUGCUUAGAGAUCAUACAGAACACCGAUUGCGAAGGCAGCUUACCAAACUAUAUCUGACGUUGAGGCACGAAAGCGUGGGGAGCAAACAGGAUUAGAUACCCUGGUAGUCCACGCAGUAAACGAUGAUAACUCGUUGUCGGCAAUACACAGUCGGUGACUAAG